AAGAGCAGCAGCCGGCUGGACGGGGGCGGGGGGGCGUGUGUGCGUGUAGUGAGAAGGCACGAGGCAGGGAACAGGACGGCCAGAGAAGGACAGGGAGCCUGACGGAGGUGGAGAUACAAGCAGCAGAGAGAGGGGAAGAGCAGGACACAGACCAACAAAGAAGGAAGAGGAGCAGGCUGGAGACGCACAAAGAACCUGGGGCAGGCAGCACGACAGCGAGGGAGGAAAGAAGAAUAGGGGCAGGAAGCUGGACCGAGCGCGAUGGAGACAGACAAGACAAGCGACAAGAACAGGGCAGAAAGGGAAGAAUGAAGCCACGGGGACAGGGAGCC
Molecule: non-coding RNA, 332 nt
Organism: Phalacrocorax carbo (great cormorant)
Lineage: Eukaryota; Metazoa; Chordata; Aves; Suliformes; Phalacrocoracidae
Source: RefSeq, a predicted model, not a curated record